AAAAACGUAACAAGGUCUCCGUUGGUGAACCAGCGGAGGGAUCAUUA
Molecule: ribosomal RNA, 47 nt
Filed under: Annulohypoxylon stygium
Lineage: Eukaryota; Fungi; Ascomycota; Sordariomycetes; Xylariales; Hypoxylaceae
Description: partial 18S ribosomal RNA
Source: RNAcentral